Lactuca sativa (garden lettuce) is the source of this 732-nucleotide non-coding RNA. The record is from RefSeq and is a predicted model, not a curated record. Lineage: Eukaryota; Viridiplantae; Streptophyta; Magnoliopsida; Asterales; Asteraceae.
CCUAAUUCCCGCUCUUGAUUUCCCCAAGAUUAGAAGUGUUCCGUUUAGGGUUUUAGUGGCCUCACUUUUAUUUUCACUGUUGUCUGGUCUUCUUCCUCGCUCAAGAGUCGGUUUUUGAUGGAGUCUCGUUGUCACUCUCUCCACACCUCCUAAUAUCCCACUUCUGGUAGUCGGUAAGUUGUCUCCUAACAUGUGUAUUCCUUUAGUCUAUGCUUGCUAAUUGAUUUUUCUAUAUAUAACAGAAAUUUUGGAUUUAUGUCAGUUCAAGCUAUUUCAUGUUAUAAUUUCUUCAAUUUUUAAUUUAACUAAUAUUAAGUUUAGUUAUAAUUUCGAAAUAGCAACAAUGCUAAGGGUUUUGUAGGAAAUACGCAAUGCUGAUUUGUGCUAGUUCAUAGCCGACCCCGUUAAUUGAAUUAGAGAAGACACCAGUCUAUUGCUUUAUCCGUUUCUUGCCAUCGAGGAGGCAUUUCCACAAAAUCUUCUAUUGUUCAUCACUUCAUUUUACAAACUUCCUAUUCCUGUAUUGGAGUCCGCACAAGAAAACAUCAUUUCACUACAAAUGAGGCUGGUUUAAAUCUUAAAUAUUGUUGUUAGGCAAUUAUUUAGUUUGAUAUUUUUAUGUUAUGAGUCAUAGUAUUAUAUCAUUUAGACUUAUUAACCAUUUUAGAAGACUUGUAUUUUAAAUACUGUUGUUAGACAAGUUAAAUAUAGUAUUUUCAAUUUAUUCUUUUA